Non-coding RNA from Oreochromis niloticus (Nile tilapia), 709 nucleotides. NCBI's taxonomy places the organism in Eukaryota, Metazoa, Chordata, Actinopteri, Cichliformes, Cichlidae. The record is from the annotation of a RefSeq genome assembly.
ACUGACACAAAACAGCCUUUAAUAGCUGUCCACUGUAGUGACCACUAUGCGUGAAAGGGUUAAUGUCGAUCCCGUUGAAGAGCCGUGAGCUUUUCCAAGAUUUUAUCCAUAUUGUGUUCAUAUAUUUCUACCUUUGAUGUUUCCUAUGCAAAUAUUGAGAUGACUUCCACCUACUUAUCUUACUGCUGAGAGUCUGCAGAGAACAGUGGACUGACAGAGUUUAACAAGAUGGACUCUAAGACAGUGCUGCUAAUUCUGACUCUCUACUGUGCAGGUGUAAAUUGUCAGACUCUGACAGAAUCUGAACCAGUGGAUAAAAGGCCUGGAGAAUCCCAUAAAUUGACCUGCACAACCUCUGGAUUCACAUUCAGCAGCUACAGUAUGGAUUGGAUUAGACAGGCACCGGGCAAAGGGCUGGAGUGGAUUGCUUAUAUCAGUAGUGGUGGUGGUAGCAACACUUACUACUCUCAGUCAGUUCAAGGCCGGUUUACCAUCUCCAGAGACAACAGCAAACAGCAGCUGUAUCUGCAGAUGAACAAUCUGAAGACUGAAGAUUCUGCAGUUUAUUAUUGUGCUCGAGAGCCACAGUGACUGAAAGUGUUUGAGCAGCUGUACAAAAUCCUAUUUGAAUUCACCCUCAAAACAACAUCCUUGUUUUGAGUUUUGUUAUGUUUUUUUUAAGAUUCAAUAACAAUAAUAAAUUCUGCUA